Molecule: non-coding RNA, 567 nt
Organism: Pipistrellus kuhlii (Kuhl's pipistrelle)
Lineage: Eukaryota; Metazoa; Chordata; Mammalia; Chiroptera; Vespertilionidae
Source: the annotation of a RefSeq genome assembly
CCGAAGCAGUGAGGGAAGGGUGUGUGGUUCCUGGCCAGGGGUAGAUGACAAGUGUUGGUGUCAGAGACUAAACUCCUCACAGUCUCAGACAGCAUUUCAUCCGAUGCUGCCAUGAGCAACAAGUUGUUCUGCUGUGUUGUCGUUUGUCUCAUCCGAGUAGGCCUUCAGGAUGCUGUAGUCACACAGUUUCCAAGACAUAGGAUCUUGGGGACGAAAAAGGAAUUAACUCUACAGUGCUCACAGAAUAUGAAUCAUAUUUCAAUGUACUGGUAUCGCCAAGACCCAGGAUACGGACUGCAGCUGAUCUACUACUCAAAUGGUGCCAACACCAUUGCAAAAGGAGAUGUCCACGAGGGGUACCGUGUCUCUCGAAGUGAAUUGAAAUACUUCCCCCUGACCUUGGAGUCUGCCAGUACCAACCAGACAUCUGUGUACUUCUGUGCCAGCAGUGACUACACAGCGCUGCACAGCCACAUCCUCUCUGCACAAAAUACAGGCGAAGCAAGGAGGGAGGGGACACUGCCCUCAAGAUUCCUGAACCCAAGAUUCCACACGAGAUUGCACUGA